RNAcentral lists this microRNA precursor (103 nucleotides) under Marmota monax (woodchuck). Lineage: Eukaryota; Metazoa; Chordata; Mammalia; Rodentia; Sciuridae. The record is from RNAcentral.
AGUGCAGUUGCUGGAUCAUAGGGCAAGAAUAUAUUCAAUUUUUUAAGAAACUGUCAAAUUAUCUUUCAAAGUAGCUGUGACAUUUUGUAUUCUUGCCAGCAAU